ACUGAGACACGGACCAGACUCCUACGGGAGGCAGCAGUGAGGAAUAUUGGACAAUGGAGGCAACUCUGAUCCAGCCAUGCCGCGUGCAGGAAGACUGCCCUAUGGGUUGUAAACUGCUUUUAUAGAGGAAGAAACCUCCCUUCGUGAAGGGAAUUGACGGUACUCUACGAAUAAGGAUCGGCUAACUCCGUGCCAGCAGCCGCGGUAAUACGGAGGAUCCAAGCGUUAUCCGGAAUCAUUGGGUUUAAAGGGUCCGUAGGCGGACUAAUAAGUCAGUGGUGAAAGUCUGCAGCUCAACUGUAGAAUUGCCAUUGAUACUGUUAGUCUUGAGUCAUUAUGAAGUGGUUAGAAUGAGUGGUGUAGCGGUGAAAUGCAUAGAUAUCACUCAGAAUACCGAUUGCGAAGGCAGAUCACUAAUAAUGUACUGACGCUGAUGGACGAAAGCGUAGGUAGCGAACAGGAUUAGAUACCCUGGUAGUCUACGCCGUAAACGAUGGUUACUAGCUGUUUGGUCGAUUGAGACUGAGUGGCUAAGCGAAAGUGAUAAGUAACCCACCUGGGGAGUACGUUCGCAAGAAUGAAACUCAAAGGAAUUGACGGGGGCCCGCACAAGCGGUGGAGCAUGUGGUUUAAUUCGAUGAUACGCGAGGAACCUUACCAGGGCUUAAAUGUAGUCUGACAGAUUUGGAAACAGAUUUUUCUUCGGACAGAUUACAAGGUGCUGCAUGGUUGUCGUCAGCUCGUGCCGUGAGGUGUCAGGUUAAGUCCUAUAACGAGCGCAACCCCUGUGGUUAGUUGCCAGCGAGUCAAGUCGGGAACUCUAGCCAGACUGCCGGUGCAAACCGUGAGGAAGGUGGGGAUGACGUCAAAUCAUCACGGCCCUUACGUCCUGGGCCACACACGUGCUACAAUGGUAGGGACAGAGAGCAGCCACUUCGCGAGAAGGAGCGAAUCUUCAAACCCUAUCACAGUUCGGAUCGCAGUCUGCAACUCGACUGCGUGAAGCUGGAAUCGCUAGUAAUCGGAUAUCAGCCAUGAUCCGGUGAAUACGUUCCCGGGCCUUGUACACACCGCCCGUCAAGCCAUGGAAGCUGGGGGUACCUGAAGUCCGUUACCGCAAGGAGCG
This 1126-nucleotide ribosomal RNA is filed under the name Mesonia algae. Its description in RNAcentral is "bacterial SSU rRNA". It matches the Rfam family "Bacterial small subunit ribosomal RNA", at positions 318 to 1454 of the family's 1533-position model. The record is from RNAcentral. Lineage: Bacteria; Pseudomonadati; Bacteroidota; Flavobacteriia; Flavobacteriales; Flavobacteriaceae.